Molecule: unclassified non-coding RNA, 615 nt
Filed under: Diabrotica virgifera virgifera (western corn rootworm)
Lineage: Eukaryota; Metazoa; Arthropoda; Insecta; Coleoptera; Chrysomelidae
Description: gastrula zinc finger protein XlCGF57.1-like
Source: RNAcentral
UAGAUAAUGAAGUUCUAGAGGACACCUGUAAAAUCGAAAUUAAGGAUGAACCUAUCAGGGAAAGUACAAAUGAUACAUUUGAUUUUUUAGAGGUUAAUAUAUGUUCUAUAAAAGCUGAAAUCAAACAAGAUGAUGAGCCAUAAAAAGAAAACACGUAUAUCAGGUGAUUUCUUGAUUUAUUGUGAAGACCAUGUAUAUACUCACACCAAAAGGUAGACGAGUUCUGGAUUAAGUAAUAAUGUCCAGAGGAAGCUUAAUGUUAAACCUUGCCCUCAAAGGGAAAACAGUUAACGCAGAUCGUGUUCGUAGCAGUUCUAAAUACAUUCCAGUUAACAAAAAGUUUACUCAAGACGAAGAAAAUCAAUCCUACUAUGUAGGGCUAAAAAAAAAUAAUGAGUGCGCCUGUAUUCUUCAGGCAAGAGUGGACUCUAAACAAAGUACAAACUGACAUAAUUAAGAAAUAAUUAAAAGACUGGGAUAAUUAAGACAUUUUUUUAUUAUAGCAUUGAGUUUGUUAUUUUUAAAAGUCAAUGAUUUUAUUGUUUCAAAAAUCAAUAUAUAAUUUCAUGGUUUAAUGUUAAUUUUGUAAAAUAUGUCAAUAAACUAAAUAAAUAA